GGGGGGGGGGGGGGGGGGGGGGGGGGGGGGGGGGGGGGGGGGGGGGGGGGGGGGGGGGGGGGGCCCGUCCCGGUCCCGUCCCCUCACCCCGUCCCGGUGCCUCCCGGUACCUCCCGGCUCCCCGGUGCGUGCCCCGUGCCUCGUCCCGCUGCUCACCCUCUCUUUAAAAAGAAAGAGAGAAAGAAGAAAGAGAAUAAUUUGGCUUUGUGUUGUUCUAGCUUUAGGAAUCUCUUUAAUAAAUCUGUCAGGACUUUUUUUUUAACAGAUAUCAACUAAAAGCACGAGAAACUGUAAGUAGUGUGCAGCAGUUUUGUCAGGAUCUUUACGAUCUCAGUGCUUGCUGGGUGACUAUUUUUGCAAAUGAGAUUAAACUUCUCAAUUAAACCUCUGUGCCCUGUGGCAAAAAAUACCACGGCAUUAAAAUUCAAUGGAACUGGCAAGGUGCUGCUCUGCUUUUCACCUGUGCUGUGUGCAGACCAUGGGAGAAGGGGAAUGCCGAUGGAGAAUCUGUUCCUCUGGGGAGCAAACAGAGUCACUGCCCCUGCAGAAAGAGAAGUCCGCCUGCAGGGCUGUUCUGGGCUCUGCACAAGUGGGACGCUGUGAUUAUAUUUGUCUCUGUGCUGGCCGUAGAGCCAGGCCCUGCUGCUGAUCCUUUGUUUGCAUUGCUCAUGACAAAAAUGAGCAGAUGUUCAGGGGGAAAUGGAGUUAGAUGGAAAAGGUGAUGGGUUUUAUGUUUCAGGAAAAAUCGCCUGAGACUUUCCCAGAUAAUGCAGAAUGCGACAAAUGUUUGUCCUCCUGAACAGGGUGAGAUGGAGCAGCCACUUCCAGGUGCAGGAGUCCCUCCCCUUCCCUCAGGAGCACCUGCAGCAGAGCAGGACACGGGCACAAAGCCAGGGAGAAAAGGACAACCGGGUUCUCACCAUGCAGGGCCGACCUCUGAGCCCCCCAGUGAUCAUGGCAACCAAAGACGGGAAAAGGCGGCUGAGGAACGUGAGAGAAGAAAAACCAAGGGGAAAAAAGCAGAAGAAACAGAACUGGUCAUCUUGGAUCCAGAACAUCCUCUGAUGACCAGAUUCCAGGCUGCCCUGAAGAAUUACCUCACCAAGCAGAUAGAGCAAGUGAACCUAGACCUCCACGAGCUGGUACACAGCCCCUCCCUUGCCCUCCCCGCCGCCCCUCCCGUCCCAGCCGGCGGGACACAGCUCCUUCCCUCCUGUGCGUGCAGAGGGGGGGGGGGGGGGGGGGGGGGGGGGGGGGGGGGGGGGGGGGGGGGGGGGGGGGGGGGGGGGGGGGGGGGGGGGG
Molecule: long non-coding RNA, 1302 nt
Filed under: Ficedula albicollis (Collared flycatcher)
Lineage: Eukaryota; Metazoa; Chordata; Aves; Passeriformes; Muscicapidae
Description: lncRNA (ENSFALG00000025852.1)
Source: RNAcentral